UACGGAGGGUGCAAGCGUUGUCCGGAUUUAUUGGGUUUAAAGGGUGCGUAGGUGGCCCCUUAAGUCUGACCUGAAAGUGGGCGGCUUAACCGCACAGGGUGGUUGGAUACUGAGGGGCUUGAAGCGGUUGGAGGUUGCCGGAACGGAUGGUGUAGCGGUGAAAUGCAUAGAGAUCAUCCAGAACGCCAAUUGCGUAGGCAGGCUGGCUACGACCGACUUGACACUGAGGCACGAAAGCAUGGGGAGCAACAGG
Molecule: ribosomal RNA, 253 nt
Filed under: uncultured bacterium
Lineage: Bacteria
Description: partial 16S ribosomal RNA
Rfam family: Bacterial small subunit ribosomal RNA
Source: RNAcentral